This 615-nucleotide ribosomal RNA is filed under the name Vibrio vulnificus. RNAcentral's name for it is "bacterial SSU rRNA". It matches the Rfam family "Bacterial small subunit ribosomal RNA", at positions 919 to 1533 of the family's 1533-position model. The record is from RNAcentral. Lineage: Bacteria; Pseudomonadati; Pseudomonadota; Gammaproteobacteria; Vibrionales; Vibrionaceae.
GCCCGCACAAGCGGUGGAGCAUGUGGUUUAAUUCGAUGCAACGCGAAGAACCUUACCUACUCUUGACAUCCAGAGAAGCCAGCGGAGACGCAGGUGUGCCUUCGGGAACUCUGAGACAGGUGCUGCAUGGCUGUCGUCAGCUCGUGUUGUGAAAUGUUGGGUUAAGUCCCGCAACGAGCGCAACCCUUAUCCUUGUUUGCCAGCGAGUAAUGUCGGGAACUCCAGGGAGACUGCCGGUGAUAAACCGGAGGAAGGUGGGGACGACGUCAAGUCAUCAUGGCCCUUACGAGUAGGGCUACACACGUGCUACAAUGGCGCAUACAGAGGGCGGCCAACUUGCGAAAGUGAGCGAAUCCCAAAAAGUGCGUCGUAGUCCGGAUUGGAGUCUGCAACUCGACUCCAUGAAGUCGGAAUCGCUAGUAAUCGUGGAUCAGAAUGCCACGGUGAAUACGUUCCCGGGCCUUGUACACACCGCCCGUCACACCAUGGGAGUGGGCUGCAAAAGAAGUGGGUAGUUUAACCUUCGGGAGGACGCUCACCACUUUGUGGUUCAUGACUGGGGUGAAGUCGUAACAAGGUAGCGCUAGGGGAACCUGGCGCUGGAUCACCUCCUUA